Molecule: long non-coding RNA, 13090 nt
Filed under: Capsicum annuum
Lineage: Eukaryota; Viridiplantae; Streptophyta; Magnoliopsida; Solanales; Solanaceae
Description: long non-coding RNA (CANN_LNC016121)
Source: RNAcentral
UAACUUGUAAUUUCAUCACCUUGUUCUCCAGGUGGUGUCCUGAAAUCAAAAUCAAAACUUGUAAUACCCUAAAUUUUCUUUAAGUCAAAUAUAGUCUCUAGAAGAUUUAGUGAUGACUUCCUAAAUGAUUAAUAUUUAAAUCAGAUAGAAUUUACCCAUUUCUAUUUUUAUCAUGUGAAAAAUUGAAUUAGCUUUUCAAUGAUACCAAUUUUGUCCAAAUCCAGUAUCGGAGUAAAAAGUUAUGGAUGUUUUACUGAGAGCUAUCAGAACCGCCCAAGUGCGACGGAUAGGUUGAUGGACCGUCGAUCUAGUGAUGGACCGUCGCCUAGAUUGUCGCAGCUAAGGCAGUAAGUCAAUCAUCUAUCUAAUGUGUGACGGACAGGUUGACGGACCAUCGAGCUUGCGAUGAACCGUCGCCCAAGUCGUCGCUACUAAGACAGUGAACCCCUAUUCUGGCCCAAGUGCAACGGUCAGAAUGAUGGAUCGUCGAGCCAGCGAUGAACCAUAGCAUGAUCCAUCAUAGAUCUUGUUCAGCGAUUUUUAAGCCACUUUUAAAAGGGCAUUUGGGUCUUUUUCCACCCGUUUUAACCCCUGAUUACAUCAGACCAUAACUCAUAAUUUCAUUAUUCAUUCAUAACAUCUAAUUAGGGUUUCUCUCAAAGAUCAAUCCCUAAGAGCAAGAAACCCUAGGUGUCUAAUUCCAAGUCAAGAAUUCAAGAUUUCCUUCAUCAAUCUUCAAGAAAUCAUCCACCCAGGUAUGUCAUAUGUUGAUUAAUGGGUCCCUUUCACCCAUAAAGCUCAAGAAUCUCUUUUCAAAAUACAAGAUUUGUGUAUUUAUGAAUGUUCAUGAUUUAAAUUGAAUUGAAGUUUAAGUUCAUGUUAUUAUGGGGUUUUGAUUCAUGUUUUAAAUUACAUAUUCCAUUGAUUGACCCUAGGAUGUGGUGAUUUUAAUAAUAAUCAUGAUAAACCCUUAAAUUUACAUGUUGAUUGAUGUAUCCAUUAUUAUUAGAUGUGUUGAUGAUUGUAUAACCAAAGCAUGCUCCCCAUGUGUUUGAUUAAAUGCCUAUACGAAGGAAAAGUUCUAUACUAGUAUGAUAAUAUGAAAUCCCCAUUCAUGUACGACUUUAUGCAUGUCAAGUGUUUGUUGUAAUGUCUUAGUCAAUGAAUUAUGGAUAUAUGAGUAGCCAUUAUGGUUCUUUAGAACUUGUACCUCAUGAAAUCUCCAACUUAUUGUAUUAUGGAUUAUGAUAUUGGUCAUGCAUUCAAGAAAGUCAUGCUUUGUCAGUUUCCUUCUAUCGAGUCCUGGGGGUACUUGUACCCAAAAAUUUAUCUGUGUGCUUAGAAUCAGUGUCAUGUUUUCAAGAUACACUCAUUCAGGCCAUGAUCCUUAGAAUUCAGUCAGUCUCAUGAAUCAAGAAAACUCAGUAAUUCCAGUAAUCUCAAAGAUCUCAGGACUUCCGUAAUCUCAGUAAUAUUUCGUCGGUCAACGGAACUCAGUUAAAUCAGUCCAGUCAGUUCAGUUAAUUAUGUUCAGUGUCUAUUAAGAUGGGAGUAGAAAUUAACACCGAGUGAACCCAAGAAUGGGAACCCACCUGUUAUAUGAGGGUGUGAUUCUUAGAAACAGUCCUUGCAUUCCAGAACUACGUAGCCAGCGUAGGUUGAGACAUCAUAGCCUGUUAUAUGAGGGUAGAUGAGGUGGAUUAACCUGUUAUAUGAGGGUUCCCACCAUUCUCACUAGAGUUACCUAUUAUAUGAAGAUUACUCACAGAUUUUGCUUACCAGUGGCACGGUAUUGACAUCCUUCUAAUUGGGGUUAUAGAUUGGACCCCAAUUCAGCUAUAUUGCUUUAUUUAGGGUAUGUCGGUUAGAUGAAUACUUCCCACAGUUUCAUUUAUAGAUCAGGACUGUCAGGUACAGUCAUUCAGUCUCAGUAAUAGAACUUAGAUAGUUCUACAAAAUUAGGAUUGUUAGCUACAGUCAACUUAGAACAGUAUGAAACUCAGCUAGUUCCAUCAGAAACUAAACUGUCAGAUACAGUCGCUCAGUAUUAGUUAUUUCAAUUGUAAAGUUAUCAGUAUCUCAUGUUAUCAGUACUCAGAUUCAGUAAUCAUGUUAUCACAAACUCAUUUAUAGUUAUUAUGUAUUCAUGUAUGUAUUCUCACAUUCAUGUUAUUCAGUCAAUUAGUAUAGUUCAUGCAUGUGAACCCUGUGCAUUUAGCCUACCUCACAUGCAUACCAGUACUUUCAAAUGUACUGAUGUAUUUGUGCUAUGGUGUUUUAUACCAUAGGUUCAGAAGCACGAGCUUCAGAGCAUCAAUAAUAUUCCAGUCUCAGUAGUCAGAGUUAGCAGUAAGUCCUCAUCCUUCGAGGACAUGAACAUUAAUUUAUUAUAUAUUUAAUUAAUUUAUUUUAGUAGUUGCAGUUAGUUGGGGACACGUUCCAUCAACUUCUUAUUCAGACAAUUCAGUAAGUUAAAGGCUUUUCAGACUAGCAUGUUUAGACAAUUAUUUUAGUUGUUUUGGGUAUUUUAUACCCCACCCAGAUAUUAUAUUAUUUCAGAUAUUAUGUCUGAGUUUUGAACCUUACGACCUUACAGCCUUUAUUUUCGUAUUAUACAGUAUAUUAUGACAUGCAUUUUGGAUUAAGCUGUCUGAUCUUUCCCCCAAACUUCAUCAUUAAUUAUUGAGUUAAUGUCUUUUCAACUGAGUCGCUUCUUUAAACCCAUUGAACUCAUAUACCUCCCAAAUUAAUGAUGCCUUAAAGGAUUUUUUCCAACAAGCCUCUCUCCUUUUUAUUGCUCUUAAACUCACCAUCGCCUUGUGAUGACCGUGAGGGUUUUCACCAAUAACAUUCUCUCAUUUUUAUUUCUCUUAAAUUGUCAUCAUCUUACGGUGACUUUAAGGGUUUUCACUAAUAAAACUCUCUCAUUUUUAUUUCUCAUAACUCACCAUCGCCUUACGGUGCUUGCGAGGGUUUUCACCAAUAAGAUUCUCUCAUUUUGUCCUUCAUGUUACCCCAUGAUGAUGCAGAAAAUAUAGUACCAAAACAUUGUCAUCUAUCCAUCGCAUGUUCAACCUUAAUAUUCUCAAAUAUUGAUCUGAAGGUCUUUCUUUGGUUGUAACUUGGCUUUUGGAUAGGGUUAAAAAGCAAGGAUGGCAGGAGGCUCAAAUAACACCUGACGCGGGGUGGAACUUAGAACUUUGGGAAUCAACUCAAACAACAAAAAUUAGCUCACGCCCAAGUUUUUUUUGACUGGAUUAUUUUAAAUUGUUAUUUGGUUGGACCGAGCCCAUAGUAGGGCAACCUAUGUAUCUCACUCCCGAGAGAGGAGAGUCAAGUCAUAUGUAGUUUCGACAACUUGUUCUUUGCUUUGUUUUGAUUUUUCUUUUUUUUUUACUUUCUUUUGAAUAAAUUGAAUGAUAUUUUUUUGACACUCUAUCUUUUGACUCUAUUUUGAUUCCCAAAGAGAGAUAUGAAAGUAAAAUAAGACCAGAGCUCAAAAGGGUAAACAAAGGAUGACACAAAAUUGGGAUAGCAGAAUAAAAUGCCUUCAUCAUAUCAAUCUUUAAAAAUGCAAUUACUGAACAUUCAAUAGAAGUAAUGAAGGGUAAAGAUCAUACAUAGUAUCUUUUUAUUUCAUCGGUAUUGACAACCAUUUUUGCUAUUUUGCCUUCUAUAGCUGUCAAAUAUAAAGCUCCAUUGGGCAACACUUUUUUCGCAAUGAAAGGUCUUUGCUAAUUUAGGGAGAACUUUUCUUUAGCUUCAAUAUGAUGAGGGAGGAUGUGCUUCAAUACUAAUUGACCGACUUCAAAACGUCUGGGACACACCUUUCUGUUGUAUGCUCAGGCCAUUAUCUUUUGAUAUAAUUAUCCAUGACACACUGAUGUCAGUGUUUUCAUCAAUCAAACUCAAUUGCUUUAAUCGGGUUUUGUUCCACUGAUCAUCAUCAAUCUCUACUUCCGCAAUGACUUAAAGAGAUGAAAUUUCAAAUUCUGCCGGUAUGAACGCUUCUGUCUCGUACACUAAUAAUUAUGAAGUUGCCCCUAUUAAAGUGUGAACAAUAGUAUGAUAACCUAGUAAUGAAAAUGACAACUUCUUAUGCCAUUGUCUGGACCCUUGUAUCAUUUUUUGCAGUAUCUUCUUGAUAAUUCCUGUUGGCUGCUUCGACGACGCCAUUUGCCUUUGGACGAUAUGGACUGGAAUUUUGAUGUGCAAUUUUGAACUGUUGGCGUACCUCUUGCAUUAAAUGACUAUUGAGGUUGGUAGCAUUAUUUGUGAUAAUCACCUUUGGAAUGCCAAAUCUUCAAAUGAUGUUAGCAUGAAUCAAAUCUACCACCUCCUUCUUUGUUACUGACUUGAAAGUUGCUGCUUCUACCCACUUUAUAAAAUAAUCGAUGGCCACCAAAAUGAAUCUAUGUCUGUUUGAGUCUUUUGGUUCGAUCGGCCCAAUCACAUCCAUUUCCUAAGCUAUAAAAGGCCAUAGAGCAGACAUUGUGUGCAUCUUAGUAGGAGGAAAAUGUAUUAGAUCACUGUUUACCUGACAUUGAUGACAUUUUUGAAGAAAACGAAUAAAAUACCUCUAUAUAGUAAGCCAAUAAUAACCUGCUCGAAGUAUCUUCUUUGGCAAGACAUAACAAUUCAUAUGCAGCCCGCAUACUCUAGAAUGUAUUUCAACCAUGAUUUCCAAAGCUUACUUUAUAUCUACACACCUCAAGAGUCCCAAAUCAGGGGUUUUCUUGUACAAGACUCCCCCACUUAAGAAAAAUCCACUAGCCAAACGCCUAAUAGUCCUCUUUUGAUCACUGGUGGCAUAUGUUGGUUAUUCUCUCGCCUGAAUGUAUCGCAUGAUAUCAAAGAAUCAAGGUUCGCCAUCGAGUUCUUCAUCAACUGUAUUACAAUAGGCAUGUUGAUCACGACUCUAUAUAUACACUGGAUCAAUGUAGGCCUUAUCAGGAUAUUGAGGCAUUGAAGACAAAGUGGCUAAAGCAUCAACAAUCUCAUUAUGAAUUCUUGGAAUAUUCUUAAACCUUAUUUACACAAACCAUUGACAUAGAUCUUGCAAGAAUUGUCGAUACGGUAUGAUCUUUGAAUCCUAUGUCUCCCAAUCGCCUUGAAUCUGAUUGAUAAGCAAGUCUGAGUCCCCCAACACUAAUAAUUCCUAAACACCCAUGUCAAUAGCUAGCCUCAGCCCUAGAAUGAAAGAUUCAUACUCUACCAUGUUAUUGGUACAAUAAAAUCGAAGUUGUGCUAUUACCAGGAAAUGUUGCCUUGAUUUAGAGAGAAGAACUGCACCUAUUCUGACUUUUUUAAUGUUCACGGCUCCAUUGAAGAACAACUUCCAAUCUGGAUCAGCAUGUAUGAUGACUUCAUCGAUACACACCACCUCUUCAUCAAGAAAAUAUGUGUUUAAUGGUUCAUACUCCUCUUCAAUAGGGUUUUCAGCAAAGUGGUCUGCUAAAGCUUAGGCUUUCAUGCGGUUUGAGUCACAUAUACAAUGUCGAACUCAGUAAGAAAUAUUUGCUACUUCGCCAGUCGACCUGUUGGCAUAGGAUUUUGAAAGAUAUACUUCAAAGAAUCCAUGCAAGAGAUGAGAUAGGUGGUGUAUGAUGAAAGAUAAUGCUUCAACUUCUGCGCUACCCAAGUUAGGGAACAACACAUCCUUUCAAGAAGGGUGUACUUGGCUUCAUACAUUGUGAACUUCUUGCUAAGAUAAUAAAUAGCCUGCUCUUUUUUGACUGCGAAAUCAUGUUGACCCAAUACACAAUCAAAAGAAUUAUCCAUAGCCGAUAAUUACAAAAUCAAAGGUCUACCAGGCUUGGGUGGUACCAAUACCAAUGGAUUUCACAAAUAUCUUUUGAUUUUAUCGAACGUUUCCUGACAUUUCUCAGUCCACUCAACUACAAUACUUUUCUUUAAUAACUUGAAAAUGGGCUCACAAGUGGUUGUAAGUUGAGAAAUGAACCUACUGAUGUAGUUCAAUCUACCAAGAAAACUCAUCACCUCUGUUCUAUUCUUAAAUGGUGGCAAAUCCUAAAUGGCUUUGAUCUUUGAAGGAUCCAAUUCAAUACCCCGACGACUGACUACGAACCCCAUCUACUUUCUAGACGAAACUCCAAAUACAUAUUUUGCUGGAUUGAGCUUGAUAUUAUAUUUGUGAAGCUUUCAAAUAACUUUCUCAAAUCUUUAACAUAGUCAGGAUGAUUCUUUGAUUUAAUAAUCACAUCAUCUAUAUAGACUUUAAUCUCUUUAUGCAUCAUAUAAUAAAACAUAGUGAUCAUUGCUCUCAUGUAUGUUGCGCCAACAUUCUUCAAACCGAACGACAUUACUCGAUAACAAUAAUUCCCUCAUGGUGUGAUAAAAGACAUAUUUUCCAUGUCAUCAUCAUCCAUAAUAAUCUAGUGGUAUCUAACAUAGCAAUCCACAAAAGAUGCCACCUCAUGUUUAGCACAAUUAUCAAGCAAAAUGUGGAUAUUGGGCACUGGAAAAUCAUCCUUCGGACUUGCUUUAUUCAAAUCCUAAUAAUGAACACAUACUCAAAUCUUGCCAUCUUUCUUUGGGACAAGAACAAUCUUGAACAACCAAGUAGGAUAACGAGCCACUCGAAUGACUUUGGCUUCAAGUUGUUUCAUGAUUUCCUAUUUAAUUUUCACACUUACAUCAUUUUUUAACUAUAUCAACUUUUUUUUGACACAAGGGAAUGCGAGAUCAGUUGGUAAUUUAUGAGCCACUAAUUCAGUCUUUAAACCAGACAUACCAUUAUAAAACCAUGCAAAAACUUCUUUAUAAUUAAUUAAUACUUGAAUCAUUCCCUCUUUUAAUUGUGGCGAAGCAUGUACACUAAUUUUAGUUUCCCUAACAUCUCCUUGAUCUCCAAGAUUAAUUGGCUCAGUUUAAUUUAAAUUAAGAUUUGGCUUGUCUACAAAUUGUUUCAACUCUCUACUUAUUUCUUCUAAUGCCUCUUCUUCAUCAUAUUCCACCUCUUGCUUCAUUAUAUCUUGAUCAGAUUAGAUUUUAAGAUCAGGCUAAAAAUUCUGCAUGCAUAUCAUAUCACUGGAAUCACCAUAAAGGGAACUGUAUAAAAAAGACAACAAAAUAUAUUAGACGGAAAAACAAAAAGGACAUUGCAUUUUAUUAAAAGGGAAAUAUAGGAGGGUUUAGACAUAAUCGACAAUAGAACAUAAACAAGAUAAAUUUCGAAUUACAACCUGGAAAUAACUCGAAUAAACAAAAAGAAAAAUAAAACAAACUAUCAAAACUCCUUCCUGACGGUGAGAGGACUGACUUCCCAAUUGUUGAGUUGGACAUCAAGGCCAAUAAACUACAUAUUUGUAUUACUAGUGCCUUCCCCAACUUCAACCACAUCAACUUAGAUAAAUAUGUCUUGGAUAAGGUUGAUUAACACUGCACCGUCAUUAUUCAUUGAUUCUAUGAUAGGCGGAACGGAGGAUCUAACUGCAUAGACUUUGAUGAAGGACUCGUUGAGUAACGGUAAUGGCUUGGUAAAUGCCCAUGAAUAUUUCUUCCACUUUUUAGACCUCUUUCUAUUCUCAAAAGUAGGUUUGUACCCCAAACCAAAGGUACCAAAGUUUUUAUGUAGGUAUACUAGAUGAGCCCUGCCUUGUAAAAAUGUCCCUAAACCUUUUCUCGAUUCAAAACCAUGCUUUAACAUUUCAUUCAUGACUAUAACAGAUGUGAAGGGCAAUUGUGACCUUGGAAUAAUAUUUCCCUCGAGGAUAUUCUCAACAGUCACCACCUUAAAAACCUGAUAAAUUGGUGCCCUAUCUGCAUUGCCUAUCUUAAUAGAGGAAAUAGAAUAAUCUUUGUUCACAAAUAAGUCCCCUUCGACAUGAAUAAUAAUUUCAUGUCUGUCACUUUCAAAUUUGACCAUUUGGUGUAAUGUAGAUGCAACUGCCCCAAUUUUGUGAACCCAUGGUCUUCCCAAUAAAAAAUUGUAAGAGAUGUCAAUAUUCUACACUUGAAAAUUUAUUGUAAAUUCAACUGGUCCUAUAGUUAAUAUUAUCUCUAUUUCACCAAUGUAAUCUAUUUUCGCUCUAUCAAAAUCUCUGACACAUACAUUGUUGGGUUGAAUCCUCUCGGUAUUGAUGUUCAACUUUUUCAAAGUAGACAGAGGAAAAAUGUUAACCUCAGAACCUCCAUCAAUUAUGACAUGAGUGACAUAGAAAUUUUCACACUUCACAGUAAUGUAAAGGCCCCGAUAAAGCCCCGUACCAUCUUCAUGCAAUUCGUCAUCGAAAAAGCUAAUACGAUUUACCUUAAAGAUCUUCCCCACAAUUUUGUUCAACUGGUUCACCAUAAUUUCUCUAGGGACAUAAGAUUCAUUCAAUACCUUCAAUAUAACAUUACGAUGUUCGUCAAAAUGCAACAACAAAGAAAGAAGAAAGAUUUGAGCUGGAGUCUUCUUCAGCUGAUCUAUGAUUGAAUAUUCUAGCAAUUUUAUCUUCUUCAAGAAUUCUUCAGCUUGUUCUUCAGUGAUAGGAUUUUUGAGAGAAGAUUGCCCAUUCAUUAUUAGCUUAGACUUCCCUAAACCUUCUAGCACAAAACAUAUCCCUGAACGAGUCAAGCCCCUUACUUCAUCCAUGAUUUUCUUCCCCUGAUAAGUCAUGACAAUCUAUUUAUAAUUUCAGAGAACCCUUUUUGUAUCGACCAACGGGAGUUGGGUAACAGUAUUGAUGGUAAUAGGUGUUGCGAGUACUCCUUUUAUAGUCAAAUAGGCUUGCUCGGAGCUCCUACUACCGUUAACUUGGGGUUUUCCUGACUUAGACUGCCAAUUUUCUCAACUCCUUUUACAAUGAUCACGAGUUUCCUCGUAUUUUCUUGAAAUUUAUCUUCCACUAUUUUCUCUCAGAUCAAUGACAUCACCUUCAUCGAAUCCGCUGUAUUCACCGAUUUAUCCUCAUUAGUUCGUAUUCUAACAAUAGGCUUGUGGGACACCGUAGAAUCUUUACCAUUAUAUAUAAACUCCAACAUAUUUAUUUCAGCAUUAACUAGCAAUGGAUUUUGGUUGACGUUUGGAAUCUCUGGGGCCUAUUUUAUAAUCUGAUUUGUGUCGAUCAGAUUCUGGAUGACUCUCUUUAAAUACCAGCAUCUUUCUACAUUAUGCCCCGAUAUGUCAAAACAAUAUGCAUAUUUAGAGAGUAAUCAAGAUUCCUUAGAGGUGGAUUCAGAAGUUUUCCUUGAUUUGGGCUCAAGACCUUUAAAUUUCUCAGUCUCUGAAAUAAACUUAUAUAUGACUCCCCAAUAGGUGUGAACUUAUUCUUGAUUGCUUUCUCUUUCUUAAAAUUGGGCCUAGGUCAAAAAUUGGAUUUAGAAGGGUUUAUGUAAUUUUGUGAAGCUGAAGGACGAUUUUGAGGAAUUAGUGCAUGCUACUGUGGGUAAGAAGAGGUAUGGAUAUAUGGUUGUGCGCUAUAUAUUGGGUAUGGGGGUGGUGAAAUAGAAUAUAGUGGGUUUUGUGGAGGGUAGUAAUGAUGCAGGGAAUAUAUGGAGCUUGGGCUUGAGAUUGGGAAUAGGGGUGAGGCGGUCUUUUUAGAUAUACAUGUGGUCCAGCUACAACAACCGCUAUAUCCUCCUUCUUUUUUUCCCUCUAAAAGUUCCAGAACCAAUCUGAAUUUCUUGGGUAGUGGCCUUUAAUGCGGCAAAACUCAUGAUUCAUCCAAUCUUGAUACCCUCUUCUAUCAUCUCUCUUAUUUUGAGGACUUCGACAAAUAUCUUACCUAUCGUCGGAAGCAAGUGUUGGAAAUAGGUAUUAUUUUGUGCCUGAAUAAAGACCUCUACCAAUUUACUCUCUUUCAUCGGAGGUUUUACCCUAGCGGCCUGUUCACGCCACCUUAUCGCAUACUCCCUAAAGCUUUUAGUACUCUUCUUCUUCAUAUUAGUCAGGGAUUUCUUAUCAGGAAUUAGCUCUACAUUAUAUUAAAAUUGUUGCAAGAAUUCAUCGGCUAGGUCAUCCCAACUAUUCCACUUAUCGAUGUCCUAAUCCAUAAAUCACUCUGAGGCUAGACUCGAAAGGCAAAAUAAGCCAUGAGUAAUUCUUCUUUACCUCCAGCACCCCUUAAUUGGUUACAAUAACACCUCAAAUAUGCCACCGGAUCACCGUGUCCAUCAUACUUUUCAAACUUCGGCAUCUUAAAGCAAAGAGGAAGAUUAACACCUAGAAACAUGCAUAGAUCUUUAUACGAAACACUUUUAUAACCCCUAAAUCCCUGCAAAUUUCUCAUGGCCUGUUCUAGGCUCUUUAAUUUUUGUGCCAUGCCUUCUUGUUCUUCUAUUACAACAGGCUUCUCUGUAUCAAAUGGAAAUGCCGGUGGUUGAUUGUACCCAUACGGUUCAUUCAUUUUCAAAGUAGGCUCUGGGGUAUAAUACGGAUCAUUCAAACCUUCAACACUGGCUCACUAAUAGAUUGAGAGAGCAUAAUUGUUAGACGAACAACAUAAGUAGGAGAUUCAGGCGGUGGAGGAGCCAUAAACACAAGUGCCAUAGGUGGUGCUAGAUGGGCAGAUGGCCUCUGUUGAGGGACUGUCAAGGGCGCACUAGACGUGCUAGGAAAGUACUAAUAUGGCGUGAAUCUUGGUGUAUAUUGGGGCAUAUCAGUGGAACCAGAAAAUUGCACUUGAGACAACGGUGGAUAAUUGGAAGUGUUGCCGAGAUCAUUUGGGUAUGGAGGAGGAGGCAUGCCACUGGCCCAUGCUCGGUGUAUCUCUUCCAGUUGUUGUCUGAGUCUUAAUAUCUCCUCAUUAUGUUCUGAACCCCCUUCCCUAGGAUUCUGGUUUGGGCCAAUGAGCAAAUUUUCUACCUCUUUGUUGGUCAUGACAAACUUUGCUUUUGAUCUGGUGAAGUAAGGAUGACUAGACAGAGUGCUACAAAUCAACCACUUUUUAUAUGAAAGAACAUGCUCAUCAAGGAUAAAACCCAUUAGGAUUAGGUCACACAACCAAGCAUGAAAAUCACACUGUAUAUUUGUCCUAGAUUUAUGCGCAUUUCUACCUACCUUUGAGGGUAAUGAGACCAUUUUAACAUCAUCUCGAUCUUUCCGUUACACUUACUACUUCUUCCCCUCCCAUUACACCUCAUUAUUUUCUACUUUUCGCCCUCACUUUUCUCUUCUUUGCAUCAGUCUUUUUUCCUUUCCCCUCGUUUUUUCUCUCACUAUUCUUUCUUUCUCUUUUCUUCUCUCACUAUUUUCUUUCUUCUUAUCAUUUUUUAUGGCUUUUGCUUUUUUUUCAAAAUAGGAAAAUUAAGGAAAAACAAAGAAACAAAACGAUUAGAUCGAACCUAAAAAUAGGUUACCUACUUAUUAUGUUGUAUAUGAAUCAGUCUUGCGUAGUUCGGGAUUAUGCACAAAGUUUGAUGUUUUUUUAUUUUUUAUUUUUUUAAUAGGAGUUUUUAUAAAAGAAAUUUUAAAAAAAAUUGUAGAAGUUUUGUACAUUUUAUAUAACGAAAAUACCAAAAAGAUUUUUCUUUCAUACUUGUUGGUGUCAUUUUUUUUAUGUUAAGAGUCACACCCUUUUUACAAAAAAGAUAGAUUUUAUGUUCGAAAAGAAUUUUUAUUAUUAAGUGACAAAAGAUAGAACUUAUUUCGAAAAGUAUUCUUUUUCAUUUGAACUCAGAGUCAACACUUGACAUAAAUUUGAUGUGCCAAGUCACCUUUGAAAAUUUUUUUUCAAAAUGAUUUUUGACUCUAUAAAACUGAUUUGCGAACAGAGAUUUUGAUUAAGGAAUUCUGUUGACCGAAGGAAAGGUGUUAGGUACUCCUCGGUCCCGUGGUUCAACCACGAUCUCUUCGUGGAGUAUCGAUUAGUACGACACUAUGAAGUGGAUAAACCACAUAAAUACAUAAACACAGAAACAAACAACCACACACUCAAAAGUCAGAAAAAUAGUGUUCAGUCCAAUUUAAUACAUACCAAAAUAAAAAUGCUGAAAAGAAAAUCUAAACUAUUCUAACUAUCCUAAGCUACGCUUUACCCGAUGCCUCGGGCCUUGAUCGUGAACAUUCUGCGCGUACAAGCUACUUCAAAGCAUACCUCAGUGAAUAAGUACAAAUGACCUCGGGGCAUUCCUCGGCUAAAGGAAUACAUUUUUCAAUUUCUAUCGACAAAAUGAAACAAUCUCAAGCACAAAAACUCAAUCAUUCCACAAUCGUCCAUUUCUAUAAUUUGCCUACCCAAACUUAGUAUUUACCUACCCAUUUGAUGGCCUAAAACAUGAUACCAUCGAAUUUGACAAUAUUAAUGUCCAUUUCAAAUCAAACAACGAUUCAAUGAAUUAAACUAAUCAAUAUCCAUGCUUUAUCGAUUUUCCAUUCAAACCCCCCGCGAUUAACCAAUUUCAACUUAAAAUCAACCAAUCAAACCACGAUGAUUAUGAAAACUCAAACACAUUCAAACACAUCACCGAAUUAUAUCAUCAAACACAUUAAGAUAAUAAAAAGAGUGGAGUUGAGAAUUUGGACCUCAAAAAUUGGUUGCUGAUAAUAAUGAGUUUAUGAGAGUCCCGAUUUGAAAUCCUCGAACGACAAUACCUAAACAACAAACAAAAUUAACUCGACAUUGAGAAAUAGCAACCUGGAGAGAUUUAAACCCACGGAGAAGACCUUAAUAUGAACCCCAAAUCACGAAUAUUUACGCAACUUAAUCACAAAAACCUUUUGAAAUCUAAUAUCGAAGACAAACUUACGAAGACAGAUUAACCAUGAAACAGCGAUGUCCAAAUCUAAGCCAGAUAUGAACAACGACACAGUUUUUGAGUUAGUUUUAAGCUGGUGACGUCGUUUUCGUCUCGCCGGAGCUUCGGCGAGCUUAGGAGGACCGGUAAACGAGGAAGAAGCUUAGAUUCCGAUCGACAAUUAUUUUUUCUGAUGAGAAAUUGUUUUCGUCCAAAAACCUUGGUUCCUCUUUUUUUUUUUCCUUUUCUGUGCUCUCUGAUCUCAACCUCUACUAUAUUUAUCCCUUUUCUGGUGGGGUGUGCGUGUGUAGUAUUUUUUCGAUGAGUGUUGAUGAAAUUUUUGUGCGUAUGGCAGUGUGUGUUUUCAGUGAAUAUCUCCUUUUUCCAACAAUGUGCCUAUGUGUGUGAA